This 441-nucleotide ribosomal RNA is filed under the name uncultured bacterium. Its description in RNAcentral is "partial 16S ribosomal RNA". It matches the Rfam family "Bacterial small subunit ribosomal RNA", at positions 338 to 795 of the family's 1533-position model. The record is from RNAcentral.
CCUACGGGAGGCAGCAGUGGGGAAUAUUGCACAAUGGGGGAAACCCUGAUGCAGCGACGCCGCGUGAGUGAAGAAGUAUUUCGGUAUGUAAAGCUCUAUCAGCAGGGAAGAAGCAAGACGGUACCUGACUAAGAAGCCCCGGCUAACUACGUACCAGCAGCCGCGGUAAUACGUAGGGGGCAAGCGUUAUCCGGAUUUACUGGGUGUAAAGGGAGCGUAGACGGCUGUGCAAGUCUGAAGUGAAAGCCCAGGGCUCAACCCUGGGACUGCUUUGGAAACUGUGGAGCUAGAGUGCUGGAGAGGUAUGUGGAAUUCCUAGUGUAGCGGUGAAAUGCGUAGAUAUUAGGAGGAACACCAGUGGCGAAGGCGGCUUACUGGACAGUAACUGACGUUGAGGCUCGAAAGCGUGGGGAGCGAACAGGAUUAGAUACCCUAGUAGUC